Mytilus californianus (California mussel) is the source of this 147-nucleotide long non-coding RNA. RefSeq lists it as uncharacterized. The record is from RefSeq and is a predicted model, not a curated record. Lineage: Eukaryota; Metazoa; Mollusca; Bivalvia; Mytilida; Mytilidae. The transcript has 3 exons.
ACCAGCACUAGGCCGCCUAUCAUUGCAAAAAAAUCAAUUAACAACAAUACAGCAAGGAACAUUUCAAGACCUACCAUCGCUUAACCUUCUAAGUUUGAGAUCAAACAAUCUGACAUUGAUCAGGAAAGACACUUUCGAAAAUCUUAC